This 1187-nucleotide long non-coding RNA is filed under the name Chloebia gouldiae (Gouldian finch). RNAcentral's name for it is "Erythrura gouldiae (Gouldian finch) lncRNA (ENSEGOG00005018683.1)". Lineage: Eukaryota; Metazoa; Chordata; Aves; Passeriformes; Passeridae. The record is from RNAcentral.
GUUACAGUAUAAAACCUUUGUUCGCCCCCCCCGCAGGGUCUUGGGGCUUGCUGAAUGAAUCCAUCCUGUUCACCCCCCAAGUCCCGUGUCGUCUGCCAUCUGUCCCCGCGCCGAUAACUGGGACCGCAGAGCUCACAAGGGGGAGCGGCCGCCCGUUCUCUUCCCUCUCACCGCCCAGCACGCCACCGCUCGGGGUGUCGCGGCGAGAGGAGCUGACCGCGAACCAACAAAUGGUAGCAGAGGAUGGUUUCCUCCUUCGUCUUGUAAAACAAACGGGCAAAUUCGUGGGGGUGCCCGCCUCACAGAAGAAGAAGGAGGGAAGAGCAACAGCUACGGCCGUGAGAGCUCUGCCGGACGCUAAGAGGAGCCAAGCGCCGAGCGAGGGAAGAUUGCGGCUCCGGGACUCUUUCCGCUCUCGCCUUUGUGCUCUCUACUCCUGUCAGGGGCAGUCGCUCUGCCGGGGAGAGUCCCCAUUGUGGGACAGGGGUAGACCUACCCCAGGGCGGAGAGGGCGGCUUGGCAGUGGCUCGGGGGAGCCCGAAGAACGGCGCGUCAAGGGACGGCACUGGAAAGAAGACCACCAGAAGCCGAUAGUGGCCGAACCUAAGGUCUCGGGGACGGGGCUUAGGAAACGGGAACACCCAGGCUUCUGGAAGGGCCAAGCCGAAGAGGGACGUCCCCAGUCCGGCGCGAUUUUCCACCAGAGCCGAAGAGAAGAUAGAGGUAUCCCCGCCCGGACCCGGAGGGUAAGUGGGUCUGGAGCAGGGCAGGGGGCUGGCCCUGCCGGGCGGCUGGGUUUCCCAUUUUUCUUUUUGCGUUUUAACCCCCGUCCGCGCCCAGGCAGGGACGUCACUAGGAAUGUCCAUGGCGGGAGGGUGAUAUGUCCCUGGCGGGCGGGUGGCUUUUCGUUUCUGGGGUGGAGGGAGGCGCAGCCCGGGGCACGUGGAACGGGGGCCCCCCCCCCUCAUCCAGUCUUCUAUGGGAACCCAUAUUGGAGAGCUUUUUCUUCUCCUCGGAAAGCUGUCUUCUCUAGCCUCUCCUCCCCAUUCCGGGCUGGACGGAGGGGGUAGAGAAGACAUCAACGGGGCAGAUUUUAGGUGGAGACACGAUUACUAUAGGAGAGUUGAUAAAAUCUUAAGAAAGGCCCUUUCCAUCCACGCAUCGCGUCGACAUCCAGCUGCGUCGGG